Molecule: long non-coding RNA, 4088 nt
Organism: Aethalodelphis obliquidens (Pacific white-sided dolphin)
Lineage: Eukaryota; Metazoa; Chordata; Mammalia; Artiodactyla; Delphinidae
Exons: 2
Source: RefSeq, a predicted model, not a curated record
GAGGCCACAACAGUGAGAGCCCCACGUACCACAAAAAAAAAACCAAACCAAACAAAAACAGAAAAAAACAAACAAAAAAAAUCCAUUUAAAAUAGAUGUACGUCUAUUAAAAAUAGAUUAUACGUGACAUGAUACUCUAUAUAGAAAUUGCUGAAGGCAACACCCAAAAACAAAUAGAAUUCAUUGGGAAAUUUAGUUAAGUUGCAGGAUACAAAAUUAACCUACAGAAGUCAGUUGAGGCCUCAGAGAGAUGGAGAGGGAGGAAGGGGAAGAGGGCCAGUUAUGCUUACACCUAACUCUCACCCUGACUACACUCACCACUUACAUUCAACAUGGUCUAGGAAGUCCUGGCCAUAAUAAUUAAAUGGAAAAAAAAAAAAAGAGGAAUCCAAUGGCAGAGGAAAAAGUUAAACUGUCACUCUUUGUAGAUGCCCUGUUACUCCGUAUAGGAAAUGGUGAAGGUGACACCUAAAAACAAAUAGAACUCAUCAGAAAACUCAGUUUAAGUUGCAGGAUACAAAAUUAAUCUACAGAAAUCGAUUGCAUUUCUAUACACUCACAAAAAACUAUCAGAAUGAGAAAUUAAGUAAACAACCCCAUUGACAAUGACAUUAACAAAAAUGAAAUACCUAGGAGUACAUCUAACCCAGGAGGUAAAAGAGCCAUACUCAGAAAACUGGAAGACAUUGAUGAAAGAACAUGGAGAUGACACAAACAAAUGGAAAGAUAUACUGUGCUCAUUGAUCAGAAGAAUUUGUAUUGGUAAAACGAUUCCACACCCCCAAGGCAAUCCAGAGAUUCAAUGCCAUUCCUUUCAAAAUAUCAAUGGAUUUUUCUCAGAGGACUACAAAAAAGAAUUCCAAAAUGUGUAUGGAAACAAAAAAGAACCUAAAUAGUCAAUACAAUCUUAAGAAAGAAGGACAAACUUGGACAUACCAUGCUGCCUGAUUUCAAAAUAUACUAGAAACCUAGACUCAUCAAGACAGUAUUACUUACUUACUUACAAGUAAGUAUUACUUACUUUUAUUCGCACAAAAGUAAGUAAUACACAUAGAUCUAUGGAACGAAACUGAGAGCCCAGAAAGAAACCCAUGCUUAUAUGGUCAAUUCAUCUAUGACAAAGGAGGUGAGAAGACACAAUGGGGAAAAGAUAGCCUCUUUAAUAAAUGGUGUUGGGAAAACCUGACAGCUACAUGCACAAGAGUCACACUGGAUUCCUUUCUCAUACCAUCUACAAAAACAACCUUAAAAUAAAUCAUAUACUUCAAUGUAAAACCUGAAGCCAUAAAACUCCUAGAAGAAAACAUAGGCAGUAUGCUCUUUCACAUCAGUCUUAGCAAUAUUUUUUUAUUGUUCUUCUCAAACAAGGGAAAGAAAAGUAAAAUAAACCAAUGGGACUCCAUCCAACUGAAAAGGUUUUCAACGGCAAAGGUAACCAUCCACAAAACAAAAAGGCAGCAUACUGAAUGUGAGAAAAUAUUUGCAAACAAUGUAUCUGAUAAGGGGUUCAUAUCCAAAACAGACCAAGAACUCACAGAACUCAACCUCCAAGAAACAAAAACCGUAACCCAAACCCUGACCCCUAACCCUAAACCAAACCCUGACUCUAAAUCUAACUAUAUAUAUAUAUAUAUAUAUACAUGCAUACAUUCAUACACAUACCUACACACAUGAGAGACAGAGGAAGAGAGAGAGACAGAAACAUAGAAAGGCAGCAAGAGAGCAAGAGAACACAAGAGAGAGGAAAUGAGUAAAAGACACAGACUUUUCCUAAAUCCAUCCAUAGGCUAGAACCAAUCACAGUGUCCAUCCAUUCUGGAGGGGUGGGGAUUUAUACAAGGAUAUGUGACCAGGAGGCUAGACUGCUGGGAGCCAUUGUAGAGGCAGCCCACCCCGGAGGCCAAGAGGAGACACUUGAACCAGGAGAACCUGGAAGAUUGUAAACCAGAGGGGGCAAUGUGUGAAUUUUAUUUACUUUCAAUCCUCCCACAGGGGGACUGGGAAAUAGGCAGGAAGGGGAGUGACUUUCUCUAGGUCCCAGAGCAGACCUAGGCCUGUUUCAGUUGUAUUCUGUGCUACACCAGCCCUUUAUGGAAUACUUCCUUUGUUCAGUCUGUGCAUGAGCUCCAUGUGAUACCAGCCCAUGGUUUUUACAGGCACUGUAAGUGUUUAUAGGUCUAUACACCUGAUGACUUCCCUAGAAUGUUGCCAGAAUGGCUGCCACUAUGCAGAUGGGGAGACUAGGGUGGGCCUGAGAGGCCCAUGGCAUUUGUCCAGGGUCACAUCAUGGGUGAGGAGGAAAAACUGGGUCGGAAACCAGCUGUGUCAACAGAGCUGGACCCUAGCCACACCCAAGCCGCCCCACGGCUGCAGGUCAGGCUAGGUUGAUGUCACAGCGUGUGGACAUGGCACGGGGUGCAGAGGUGCCCUUGGGGAGCUUUGUAUAAGGAAAAAGCCUGGGCAAGGGGACCCCAGGCAGUGACCUCACAUCCCUGGCAAUAGAGCCCAACAGAACAUGGAACCUGGGUAACCAGGCAUCCACAUCCUAGAGGAGCCCCAUAACCAGCUCAUGUGGUUGGAAACAUGAUUUUCUGUGUCCCAAUAUCCCAAGGCCAUAGCCUCAGGAAAGGUCUCAGUGCCAGCGUCUUCCAAUGCUGUCGACAUUGGGUCAGGUCCCACCCCAGAUGCCGUUGACUCUUUGCCCAGAGGGACCCAAAGGUAAGCCAGGGAGGCCCCGAGCAGGCCACCCAAGCCAGGCCACAACUCUGAUUCCACUCGGGUAGCCCUCUGUCUCUUCCCUGGAUGUAUGGAGGUGGGGGCUUCUGUGGGGUGGGUCUGCCUCAAGCAAGAACAGGCCAAUGAGGAGUCAGAAACCUAGUGGGCUGGUCAUGUCUACACUCCAAGUCCAAGAUGGCUGGACAGGAUGGGAAGAGAGAGCCCAGACAGCGCCUUUCUGCCUGAGGGUUGUUCUAAGCCCUCUAGGUGGAUCUCUUUCCUCCCGGCUAGAUAUGUGAGCAGACACAGGUCUGUGCCUGAUCUGGGAGCAGAAGGUCGAGUGGGCAGAAGAAGCAGCGAUAAUGGCCGGGCGAUGCCCUGAUCCCGCCAGGCUGGGCUGGCUGCUGGUCACUGUCAUUGCAAAGCCCCCCAUAGGAGAUCGGCAAGGAGUUCCAAUUAGGACACCUGAUCCAGCUCCCCAAGUGAGGAGCUGAGGCGUGCCACACUGCCAGUAAGGGCUCACACAGCUUCCAUGUGAGUGUGGCCAUGGAGGGUCCUCCAGCACCACAGCCCAGAGGUCAACGGGGAGGGCCUCCUGUCCAGACACCUCCCACAGUGUCCAGAAGUCCCAGGCUUCCACAGGGCUGGAGCACCGUGUCAACCUUCCCCUGAGUCAGCUGGAGGAUCUGGAGCCCACCAAGGCAGAGCACAAAGGUGCAGCUGGAGACCCAGUGCCAGAUGAUGAUUUGCCAACUGGGAAGGGAGAACAUGUACCUGCUUUUGCAGGAGACCGAGAUCCAGAUGGUGGUUUACCACCUCUGUAGAGAGGACCUUCAACUGCUUUUGCAGGAGACCCAGAGCCUGAUCAAAAUUCACCACCCCUGCAGAGCCUGCACUGCUUCCUGCAGGAGACCCAGAGCUAUUUCAGAAAUCAUCAUCCCCACAAGCAAAGCCACCUCUGCCACCAUCAUUGCUGUCAGCUCCCAAUCUACACCAUCAACCUGCUCCCCCACCUGAAAUUUACUUUCCUUCCCUGUAUUUGUUUGUGUUUGGGUCUUUUUAAAUUUUAUAUUUAGUUUUAUCUAUUCUUCCACAUUUUUAUGGCAUACUCUACUUAAGUGUAAAGUAAUAAAAUUUAAAUAUCAACAUUUUCUAUUUUCAGUUGCAGUUCAGGAGCAUUAAGUACAUUCACAAUGCAGUAUAACCAUCACCACUUUCUAGUUGAAGACUGUUUCAUUCCCCAAAGUAAAACCCUGUAUCCCAAGCAUGCACUCCCCAUUCUUCCCUCCCGCAGCCUCUCACACCCCUAAUCCUUUCUCUGCUUCUUUACUUCUUCUGGAUGUUUCCUACAAUGAAACCAUACAAAAGUUGGC